GAUGAACGCUGGCGGCGUGCCUAAUACAUGCCAGUCGAGCGAACAGACGAGGAGCUUGCUCCUUUGACGUUAGCGGCGGACGGGUGAGUAACACGUGGAUAACCUACCUAUAAGACUGGGAUAACUUCGGGAAACCGGAGCUAAUACCGGAUAACAUGUUGAACCGCAUGGUUCAACAGUGAAAGACGGUCUUGCUGUCACUUAUAGAUGGAUCCGCGCCGCAUUAGCUAGUUGGUAAGGUAACGGCUUACCAAGGCAACGAUGCGUAGCCGACCUGAGAGGGUGAUCGGCCACACUGGAACUGAGACACGGUCCAGACUCCUACGGGAGGCAGCAGUAGGGAAUCUUCCGCAAUGGGCGAAAGCCUGACGGAGCGACGCCGCGUGAGUGAAGAAGGUCUUCGGAUCGUAAAACUCUGUUAUUAGGGAAGAACAAAUGUGUAAGUAACUAUGCACGUCUUGACGGUACCUAAUCAGAAAGCCACGGCUAACUACGUG
RNAcentral lists this ribosomal RNA (497 nucleotides) under uncultured bacterium. RNAcentral's name for it is "partial 16S ribosomal RNA". It matches the Rfam family "Bacterial small subunit ribosomal RNA", at positions 28 to 507 of the family's 1533-position model. The record is from RNAcentral.